AGUGGCGAACGGGUGAGUAACACGUAGCUAACCUGCCCUCGAGCGGGGAAUAAGCUGGGGAAACUCGGGCUAAUACCGCAUAACAUUCCCCAUGCAAGGGCCCACUCGAGGAGGGGGCUGCGGCCGAUUAGCUAGUUGGCGGGGUAACGGCCCACCAAGGCGAUGAUCGGUAGCCGGCCUGAGAGGGCGCACGGCCACACUGGCACUGAAACACGGGCCAGACUCCUACGGGAGGCAGCAGUGGGGAAUUUUGCACAAUGCCCGAAAGGGUGAUGCAGCAACGCCGCGUGAGGGAUGAAGGCCUUCGGGUCGUAAACCUCUUUCGAUCGGGAAAAAUGAUGGUACCGGAUGAAGAAGCCCCGGCUAACUACGUGCCAGCAGCCGCGGUAAUACGUAGGGGGCGAGCGUUGUUCGGAAUUACUGGGCGUAAAGGGCGUGUAGGCGGUGCGGUAAGUUGGGCGUGAAAUCCCCGGGCUUAACCCGGGGCUGCCGUUCAAAAC
Molecule: ribosomal RNA, 500 nt
Filed under: uncultured soil bacterium
Lineage: Bacteria
Description: bacterial SSU rRNA
Rfam family: Bacterial small subunit ribosomal RNA
Source: RNAcentral